GCAGUGGCUCAGGAGGUAUAGCAGGUCGUCUGGCAAACGAAAGGUUGCUGGUUCAAUCCCCGGCUCCUCCGAGCUA
Merluccius polli (Benguela hake) is the source of this 76-nucleotide non-coding RNA. Lineage: Eukaryota; Metazoa; Chordata; Actinopteri; Gadiformes; Merlucciidae. The record is from the annotation of a GenBank genome assembly.